UACGUAGGUCCCGAGCGUUGUCCGGAUUUAUUGGGCGUAAAGCGAGCGCAGGUGGUUUAUUAAGUCUGGUGUAAAAGGCAGUGGCUCAACCAUUGUAUGCAUUGGAAACUGGUAGACUUGAGUGCAGGAGAGGAGAGUGGAAUUCCAUGUGUAGCGGUGAAAUGCGUAGAGAUAUGGAGGAACACCAGUGGCGAAGGCGGCUUCCUGGUCUGCAACUGACACUGAGGCACGAAAGCGUGGGGAGCAAAUAGG
Molecule: ribosomal RNA, 252 nt
Filed under: uncultured bacterium
Lineage: Bacteria
Description: partial 16S ribosomal RNA
Rfam family: Bacterial small subunit ribosomal RNA
Source: RNAcentral